This 495-nucleotide ribosomal RNA is filed under the name uncultured Actinomycetes bacterium. Its description in RNAcentral is "bacterial SSU rRNA". It matches the Rfam family "Bacterial small subunit ribosomal RNA", at positions 377 to 887 of the family's 1533-position model. The record is from RNAcentral. Lineage: Bacteria; Bacillati; Actinomycetota; Actinomycetes.
GCGAAGCUGAUGCAGCACGCCGCGUGCGGGAAGAAGGCCCUAGGGUUGUAAACCGCUUUCAGCAGGGAAGAAAAUGACGGUACCUGCAGAAGAAGGUGCGGCCAACUACGUGCCAGCAGCCGCGGUGACACGUAGGCACCAAGCGUUGUCCGGAUUUAUUGGGCGUAAAGAGCUCGUAGGCGGUUCAGUUAGUCGGGUGUGAAAACUCUGGGCUCAACCCAGAGACGCCACUCGAUACUGCUGUGACUAGAGUGCGGUAGGGGAGCGGGGAAUUCCUAGUGUAGCGGUGAAAUGCGCAGAUAUUAGGAGGAACACCAGUGGCGAAGGCGCCGCUCUGGGCCGUAACUGACGCUGAGGAGCGAAAGCGUGGGUAGCAAACAGGAUUAGAUACCCUGGUAGUCCACGCCGUAAACGUUGGGCACUAGGUGUGGGUCUCAACCAACGAGAUCCGCGCCGUCGCUAACGCAUUAAGUGCCCCGCCNGGGNANGACCGGA